GGCUCUCCCGGUCAGCCAGGAAUGCCUGGAAAAGAUGGAAUGAAAGGAGAAAAGGGUGAUGCAGGUGGAGCACCGGGACCGAUAGGCCCCCCGGGCCUCAAGGGUGAACCUGGUGAGCCCUGCUCUGUCGGAAUUUGCAAUGGGGAGGAGGUUGUGUCUGGUCUUCGGGGGUUGCGGGGCCCUAAGGGUGAACGAGGUGUUCCUGGAGUACCUGGAGAUGCUGGAGAGAAAGGAGAACCUGGGAUUGGAAUCACUGGACCCCCUGGUCUGAUGGGAACUAAAGGCGAACCAGGAAUUCAGGGUCCUCGUGGACCUGCAGGACCAGUUGUAGUGCAAGGUAUUAUGGUGAGAAAUGCUUUUAUUACUUUAAAUCCUAAAAUUUGGAACAAGAUGAAAAUAUCAAAAUAUUUAUAUGUAAGAAUUAUUUUAUAUAAAGAAUACUUAAAUACCUUGAAUAUUCUUAUAUUCAUAUAUGUUUUUGUGUAUUAAUCUGAAAGGGACCUCCAGGCCCACAAGGCAGACCAGGACCCCCUGGACCCCCUGGAGAACCGGUUCGUAACAUUUUUUUUUUUUUUUUUUUUUUUACUAACAUGCUGAUAUUGCCUUUUUCUGGACAUUCCUAGAAACAUUAAGUUAAUAUCCAGGUACACACAAUAUGUUUGUUUUUGAUCUGCUAAUGAAAAUAGUCGAAUUACAAUACUGACACAGCACUCCAUGGGGAAUAAAAUUAAUAUUUGUUUGUACUGCGUCUCAUUUUCUAAUGUUGUAUCUAAUGCUGCUCAAAAUCAUGUUCUUUUUCAGACAGCACUACCUAUUGUUGGAGACAUGGGGACAUUAUUGAAGAACGCCUGCAGUGUGUGUCAGACCAGAGUACCAGGAUUGCCAGGGCAGAAAGGAGAAAAAGGUUCCCUUGGAACUCCAGGUAUCCCAGGAAUGGAUGGAGAAAAGGGGGAUCAGGGUCUUCGGGGCCCAGCUGGUAAUCCUGGAAAAGAGGGUCCGAAGGUAAGCCGCCCUAAAUCAGAGAUUAGAGAAGAGAAUCGUGUGAUUGGCAGACAUAUGAGCUUUAGCUAUAAUUCUGGAAGUGCAUUUCCUCUGUUACAACAAGGCAUUGCAGGGCAAAUAUAUUACACAUGGUGCAACAGUAGCAAAUAA
Long non-coding RNA from Cyprinus carpio (common carp), 1152 nucleotides. NCBI's taxonomy places the organism in Eukaryota, Metazoa, Chordata, Actinopteri, Cypriniformes, Cyprinidae. The record is from Ensembl.